Drosophila hydei is the source of this 588-nucleotide long non-coding RNA. RefSeq lists it as uncharacterized. Lineage: Eukaryota; Metazoa; Arthropoda; Insecta; Diptera; Drosophilidae. The transcript has 3 exons. The record is from RefSeq and is a predicted model, not a curated record.
AUGUGUGUAUUAUAUAUAUCAUAUUUUCGUGGGAAUUCUUCAUUUUGUCUUGUUCAUAUUUUAAUUAUUUAAGUUGUGUGCCUCACAGCUGCUGUUGGCUGGAUAUGCUUGGCACGUGCUGGGCUUUCGCGGCAGAUUUCCUAAUGAGUUUGUUGUUGUGGUGAGCUAAAUUUAUGUGCUGGUCACUAGUUGGAUUGUUAUACAAGCCAGAAAUAAUAUGCGAAGAGAUGUAAAGGAAAGGAUAUCUAUUUAUGUGGUGAGCUGGGUAGCGGUUUGAAAUAUAUAAAACUAAAUAUGUUGAUCCUUCAAUACUAUCGCUUAAAAAGAGCCCAAGUUCGGCCGCUUCGUGCUUCAGUCAGAGCAAAUGUCUGUCUGUCUUAGCUGUUUAGUAAGUCACCAAAAUACAAUAACUUAUUUACACACUUAUCUAGCUGGCACAUCCAUUUGGACCCUAAUUCAAUUAUCAGUUAUCGGGACAAAGUCAAAUCCCAAUAAUCAAUGAAGAUUUAAGUAGCAAUCGAACCUUUUUGCAAUCUUAAGCUCUGAGAUUAUUUAAAAUAAAUUUUAACUUUUUAAGAAGUUUUCUAA